Long non-coding RNA from Gadus morhua (Atlantic cod), 543 nucleotides. RefSeq lists it as uncharacterized. NCBI's taxonomy places the organism in Eukaryota, Metazoa, Chordata, Actinopteri, Gadiformes, Gadidae. The transcript has 2 exons. The record is from RefSeq and is a predicted model, not a curated record.
AAUAUAACCAAUCCAUUCCAGUGGUUUUCCAUCAGGUUGUCUUAUCCAAGCUGUCCAGUAGCUACUAACAGAAUAAGAGACCUGACAGCGGAUGGUCAGAGGUUGACCAGGUCGGACAGUCAGAGACUCGGGCUGACCUCACCAGAGCCAGCAGCCAGGAGCAGCAGCAGUACAGCUACAGAGAACAUGGUUUGUGUUGAAGCUGAACUGGAGGAAGAUGUGCUGUUCUACAAUUGACAACUUAUAAGGCUGAGCGAGAGGAGAAAGACCCACAGUCCUAUUUGCAUAAUUAAAUGAGGUGGCAGAUGGUGGUUGAGAUGCUACGUGACCCGGGGACAUGGGGGACAGGAAUCACAGAUCAUUUACACAUUUUAGCAUGUUUUUUAUAGUGUGUACGUUUACUUGCACACUGUUAGUACAAUCAUUUUAUAUCAUUUAUUUUUUUAAGGGAAAUGAAGAUUUACUGUUGAUAUUUGCUUUUCUUUAAAAAAGCAUUAUGAUUUCAAAUGUAAUCUGAGAAUAAAGCAUUUUUUAAGAUCUUAA